This is a long non-coding RNA of Colossoma macropomum (tambaqui), 240 nucleotides long. RefSeq lists it as uncharacterized. NCBI's taxonomy places the organism in Eukaryota, Metazoa, Chordata, Actinopteri, Characiformes, Serrasalmidae. The transcript is spliced from 3 exons. The record is from RefSeq and is a predicted model, not a curated record.
GAUGCAUUCGGAAGUUUUGUAGGACUGAGCAGUCACUAUUGGAGACAUGGCUUGGUGGUAUAAAAGGUUUUGGAUACUUGUCACUACCUUGUGUGUCUUGCGGGAUGCUAGUGGAUAUGGAGGAUGGAGUAAAGGACCUCUUCAGGAUCAGGGCACUGCAGAUGUCUCUGGCCCUCUUCUUCAGUUCCCAAAACCUGGCCUUUCAUCUGAUGGAUCCUAUCUUUCCAGAACCCUGACAGA